GCCUCAAUUUCAGUGUCACAGACAAAACUUUAACCCUUCCUAGUCUUGUCACUACUGUACCGACUGCUGCUGGCGGUCGUUGCAAACGUUUUCCCUGCAGUGUUCAACACAGCACACCCUAGUGAAUCCUCGGGGCUCGUUUCCCAGGUUAUGCUAAUCCCGAGCUAGGAGGGAGAUGGCCAAGCUUGCAUUCACAUGGUACGCUGGAUGGGGAAAAGAGUAUCGUUAGCACCAAAUGAAUAUUGAUUGUCUGGUAUGUAGAUUUGCCGGAAAGUAAUUGCUUGGAGUCAAGGAAUCUGUUGGGGAUGAUCUGUGUUUGGACACCUGAGCCUCUGCAGAACAUGACUGAUUGUGCUGUUCUUUCAAGGACCUACUCAAAGCAGGUACAUAUUUCGUGAUAGAGCAACUAAUAGCUAGAGAACUCUGCCGUGAAACUAUACGGCAACCCAGCUUUAGCAGCAGGAGCUGAUGAAGAGAAGUCCUAUGGACUGUGCUAUGCUAUGACGGAUGUUCACUGUGAUCCCUUCUGCCCUUGAGAUCUGUGUGUAUCCGAGCUGUCUGCAGAGAACCCACAGAGUUUUGAAACCAGCCAAUUAAAUAGCUGCAGUGGUGGCCGGUUACUGCAUAGCAAGACUGUGGAAGCAAAACUAGAGAGACCUGGAAGAGAAACUGUGCAACAACUUCAAUCUCUCAAGCCAAAAGCAGAGAUAAAUAAAACUUGCAAGUGACCUUGGAUUGCAAUCCAAUGAAAGCUAGGUCAGAAAGCAGAAGGAGAAAGCAGCAACAACUAAGUUUGGAAAGAUACUGCGUUUGGAAAGGAACAGACAAGAUGCUGUAAUAGUUCUCCUUUAUCUUGAGAUAUUUAUGGUAGGAAAAAGAUAUAAAUAACUUGAAGUGGAUAGGUCUAAUACUAUUUGAUCUAUUGAUGUGUGUGUGCUCUUACUUUACAAUUUUACAAAGAAACCAAUCAAAAAGUGGCCUGAAAAAAGGUCCUGUGUAGAUCCUCCAUGAAGCAAGGAGGAAACAAUUGACUUGGUAAAUUCUCUUGUUUUCCUUGGGGUAAUAACAUUCCUC
Molecule: non-coding RNA, 1074 nt
Organism: Struthio camelus australis
Lineage: Eukaryota; Metazoa; Chordata; Aves; Struthioniformes; Struthionidae
Source: RefSeq, a predicted model, not a curated record